GAUGAACGCUGGCGGCGUGCCUAAUACAUGCAAGUCGAGCGAACAGACGAGGAGCUUGCUCCUCUGACGUUAGCGGCGGACGGGUGAGUAACACGUGGAUAACCUACCUAUAAGACUGGGAUAACUUCGGGAAACCGGAGCUAAUACCGGAUAAUAUAUUGAACCGCAUGGUUCAAUAGUGAAAGACGGUUUUGCUGUCACUUAUAGAUGGAUCCGCGCCGCAUUAGCUAGUUGGUAAGGUAACGGCUUACCAAGGCAACGAUGCGUAGCCGACCUGAGAGGGUGAUCGGCCACACUGGAACUGAGACACGGUCCAGACUCCUACGGGAGGCAGCAGUAGGGAAUCUUCCGCAAUGGGCGAAAGCCUGACGGAGCAACGCCGCGUGAGUGAUGAAGGUCUUCGGAUCGUAAAACUCUGUUAUUAGGGAAGAAAAAAUGUGUAAGUAACUAUGCACGUCUUGACGGUACCUAAUCAGAAAGCCACGGCUAACUACG
This 495-nucleotide ribosomal RNA is filed under the name uncultured bacterium. RNAcentral's name for it is "partial 16S ribosomal RNA". It matches the Rfam family "Bacterial small subunit ribosomal RNA", at positions 28 to 505 of the family's 1533-position model. The record is from RNAcentral.